AACGCGAAGAACCUUACCCUUCAAUACUCGGAACCUCCCAUGAAUGGUGAGGUGCCUUUGGGAAGCCAGAACACGGGUCCGGCAGGGCUUUGGUCAGCUCGUGUCGUGAGAUGUGGGGUUAAGUCCCGCAACGAGCCCAACCCUUGCCUUUAUUUGCCAUCAUUUAGUUGGGCACUUUAGGGAGACUGCCGGUGACAAACGGGAGGAAGGCGGGGAGGACGUCAAGUCCUCAUGGCCCUUAUGGCUAGGGCUCCACACGUCAUACAAUGGUCGGUACAAAGGGUUGCCAACCCGGGAGGGGGAGCCAAUCCCAAAAACCCGUUCGUAGUCCGGAUGGCAGUCUGCAACUCGCCUCCGUGAAGUGGGA
RNAcentral lists this ribosomal RNA (367 nucleotides) under uncultured bacterium. Its description in RNAcentral is "bacterial SSU rRNA". It matches the Rfam family "Bacterial small subunit ribosomal RNA", at positions 958 to 1330 of the family's 1533-position model. The record is from RNAcentral.